GUCAUCACUUCAACAGCACAUAUACUAAAAUUGGAACAAUACAGAGAAGAUUACCAUGGCCACUGGGCAAGGAUGACACACAAAUUCGUAAAAUGUUUCAUAAUUUU
Non-coding RNA from Pteropus alecto (black flying fox), 107 nucleotides. The record is from Rfam. NCBI's taxonomy places the organism in Eukaryota, Metazoa, Chordata, Mammalia, Chiroptera, Pteropodidae.